CAGUAGCCGCGGGAAUACGGAGGGUGCAAGCGUUAAUCGGAAUUACUGGGCGUAAAGCGCACGCAGGCGGUCUGUUAAGUCAGAUGUGAAAUCCCCGGGCUUAACCUGGGAACUGCAUUUGAAACUGGCAGGCUUGAGUCUUGUAGAGGGGGGUAGAAUUCCAGGUGUAGCGGUGAAAUGCGUAGAGAUCUGGAGGAAUACCGGUGGCGAAGGCGGCCCCCUGGACAAAGACUGACGCUCAGGUGCGAAAGCGUGGGGAGCAAACAGGAUUAGAUACCCCUGUAGUCCCUGUCUCUUAUAC
Molecule: ribosomal RNA, 301 nt
Filed under: uncultured bacterium
Lineage: Bacteria
Description: partial 16S ribosomal RNA
Rfam family: Bacterial small subunit ribosomal RNA
Source: RNAcentral